UGUUUCAGGAUUCUUCGAUGUUUUAUUGGGAGAAGGUAUGGAGUACGAGGACGAUGACCCUCCAGCAUCUACUGGGCCUACAGGGUCAAUAUUUACAGUCUUGCAGAAAUGGCGCAUGGAUACACUGAAACAUUCUCAUCACAUGAAUUUGUCCACUGACACAUACAUACAUUCAAAUCAUAUUCACAGACCUGAUGGGUACACCUUGAUCCCAUUCAUACAGCUUCUGAUGGGUCCACUUCACAUUCUUACCUCCACUUGCAUGCAUACAGUACAUCCCCAUUAUACGGAGCAGGACACAGACACAAACAUCCUCAUCUGAGAUAUGAAGAGGAUAACAGUGAUAUGAAGGGGAUAACAGAGAUAUGAAGGGGAUAACAGUGAUAUGAAGGGGAUAACAGAAAUAUGAAGGGGAUAACAGAGAUAUGAAGGGGAUAACAGUGAUAUGAAGGGGAUAACAGAGAUAUGAAGGGGAUAACAGAGAUAUGAAGGGGAUAACAGAGAUAUGAAGGGGAUAACAGAGAUAUGAAGGGGAUAACAGAGAUAUGAAGGGGAUAACAGAGAUAUGAAGGGGAUAACAGAGAUAUGAAGGGGAUAACAGAGAUAUGACGUGGAUAACAUUGAUAUGAAGGGGAUAACAGAGAUAUGAAGGGUAUAACAGAGAUAUGAAGGAUAACAGAGAUUUGAUUAAUGUUAAUAAUAGAAUAUUUAAUCAAUCUAAACACAGCUGAUUGCAGUUUCAGCUGAAAAUCUACAGUACCCAAGUGUUGUACUCUGUACCUUUUGAGACAAACGGUGAACAUGUAAAGAACUCCAGUAUCAAUACACCCAGGUAAGAUGUCUGUUCAAUAACCAAACAGGGUAUAUACAAAUCUAAGCAUAAUGUAAAGUACUGUAAACCUGUGGACAAAACUUUGUUUUAGAGAGUGAUGGAGAUGGAAGCCAGUCAAUCUGCACAUAAAUACAUGUUUGUGGAUGGAGCUGGAUUCAACCUGGCAAAAACACACCGCAGGGGAAGAAAUGUGAUUGGUCAGAGAGCCACCGUGGAUGUCCCAGGUCAGAGAGGAGCUAACAUCACAAUGUGUGCAGCACUGUCCAAUGAAGUUUUGCUGUUACACAAACCACUCAUUGGCCCCUACAACACAGAGAGGCUGGUGAUUAUACUAUACUUGUUGAUGUUUGUUUGUGAUUAUUGCAGCCCUGGAACUUUGGGAAAUUAGUUAUUUGUUUGAAGUUAUUAUUUUCAAAAGUAUAAUUUCCUAUAUGCAAAGAUGUAGAAAAAAAAAAAGGAUAUUCCUUCAAAUGGCCGCAUUUUUUUAUUCAUUCUUGUUCCGUAUACAUUAGUACAGUCAAUAAAGUGAGGUGUUUUUCUUAUUCUAUGAUCAAAUACUGAUUUAUGUGAAAUAUUAUUUCAAAAACAUACAAGACAAAAGUUUGGCACUUAUGUAAUACUCCCUGUUGUUAGUGUUUUUUAGGUCAGUGUGUUAUGAGUGACAAUGUGUGAUUCUGAGUGAGAAUUAUUGCCAGUAUUUUGGUUGAACAAUCUUAUUUUGAGACAUGAAAAAGCUUAUUUUGAUACAUGUAUGAAGUGUUUUGGUGGUUUUAGUGAGUUUUGGAGGUGAGAUUAACUGUUUGGCAAAGACGCACGUUAGAAAUGCAGACUGUGUGAAGAGUUUUGUUAUUGUUGUUGCAGUAUUGACCGAUGCUUGUUAGCAAUCGGGAAAAACUGUAAGAUGUUGCUUGUUUGCUGGGCCCCCUCUUCCCCACCUGCAACUGCUCUCUCCCCCUCUCUCUCUCCCUCUCUCUCCCUCUCUCUCUCCCGCUCUCUCUCCCACUCUCUCUCCCCUCUACCUCUACCCCCAGCCCUGAACCUUGUGAGCAGCCUUCUCCGAGCCCCCAGGGCCCAAGGCAGGCAAGCAGCACACUGAGGGUCGCCCAACACGGAAAUGUCUAACAGUGGACAACAGCUGCAUGGGCUGGCCUGGCCCAGGACCAGCCACCUCUUAGCCACAAAGGGCUGCUUGUGCCCCAACCGGGUGGAACAUAAAACACAAGAGAUAAGCUGAGCGACAGUGUUUGCCAGGACCAGUGCACCUCCAUAAACAGGAAGUGAGUGCGAGUGGCUGACACAGGGCACGCUCACCGUGGGGUACAAACAGCACCCCCAAAUCCGCACCAUUCCAACACCCCCUCCAGGGACGAGCUAAACCGCCAAGUUUGUCCGGGGGGGGGCGGCUUCCAAUGGAAAACCCUAUUGGGUCGAAGGUGUUGCCGUGGAGGGCAUGUUUGAAGAUGGAAGAGGAUAUGAACGCGGUUGAGGUCUGUUUUCCCAUGAUCCACCAUUCCUAGGUGUCCUUUUUUCCACAAGUCAAAUAUCAUGAACUCAAAUGUGUUGAAAGGUUUGUUUCACUUUCUGACAGACAUUUCUGUAACUUUGCCUUGUUGGGCUCAGGGCCGUCAACACACCUGGAUUUUCAGGGCUCUAGCCUUGGAUGUUUUUUGUUCAGACCCAAGUGUUUCGCAAGCUGACAUUACCCAGCUGGGAUGGGAGUUAAGAAACAUGCACGAUGUGCGCGUCAUUGAGAUUUUGCAGGUUGGUAAGACAUAUCAGUACCCCAGACAGCACUUAAACUAACAUUAAUUCAUGAAUAAACGAUUUGUAGCAAAAUGAUGUAAUACUACACUAACAUGUUUGCCAAACUACACAAAUGCCUUGCUCUGACUAUAUGCUAAACCAUGCCCCCAAAUUCUCCCCAAAAAAGUACACAACUAGAGGGACAGAAUCUCAAACUGCAAUACAUAUCAAAAACCCAAUCUGAUAAUAGUUUGCUACAGUGUGUUUCAGAUUGAGUCAUUAGGGAAAUUAUACUGCACUCCAUAUUUGUAAGAAAAAUUUAUCAAAUAUUUAUAUAGAAUAUAAAAAUAAAUGCAACAUGCAACAAU
Molecule: long non-coding RNA, 2943 nt
Organism: Esox lucius (northern pike)
Lineage: Eukaryota; Metazoa; Chordata; Actinopteri; Esociformes; Esocidae
Source: Ensembl